AAGGUUUUAAGUUAAAUAAACUAAUAGCCUUCAAAGUUAUAAAUAUAAGUUUAAAUCUUUUAAGCCUUA
RNAcentral lists this transfer RNA (69 nucleotides) under Tipula abdominalis. RNAcentral's name for it is "tRNA-Trp". It matches the Rfam family "tRNA". From Rfam's summary of the family: Transfer RNA (tRNA) molecules are approximately 80 nucleotides in length. Their secondary structure includes four short double-helical elements and three loops (D, anti-codon, and T loops). Further hydrogen bonds mediate the characteristic L-shaped molecular structure. tRNAs have two regions of fundamental functional importance: the anti-codon, which is responsible for specific mRNA codon recognition, and the 3' end, to which the tRNAs corresponding amino acid is attached (by aminoacyl-tRNA synthetases). tRNAs cope with the degeneracy of the genetic code in two manners: having more than one tRNA (with a specific anti-codon) for a particular amino acid; and 'wobble' base-pairing, i.e. permitting non-standard base-pairing at the 3rd anti-codon position. The record is from RNAcentral. Lineage: Eukaryota; Metazoa; Arthropoda; Insecta; Diptera; Tipulidae. RNAcentral also lists the same sequence under 1 other name.